Molecule: long non-coding RNA, 204 nt
Filed under: Brassica napus (rape)
Lineage: Eukaryota; Viridiplantae; Streptophyta; Magnoliopsida; Brassicales; Brassicaceae
Description: long non-coding RNA (BNAP_LNC020301)
Source: RNAcentral
CGGCUGUGGUUGUCCCGUAUAGCAAUGAGCCAAUGAGGCGUGUGGCAUAUCUCAGUACUGGGCUCCAGAUAAGUGACUCAUUUGCCUGAGAAGAUCUAUAAACCCAUGUGCCAAUCGUUUCCCAGAAGUUCAACAGCUCUGAAGUCCAAUAAAGACCAGAUGUCCUCUCCCCUGCACUCAAUCCAAAUAGUCCACAGAGGUUUG